GUCAAAAAAAAGAAGGCUCACGACGGAGACCUAGGCUCUCAGAGACGAUGAAAGGCGCGAUACCAGCGAUAUGCUUUGGGGAGUAGGAAGAAUGCAUUGAUCCAAAGAUUCCUGAAUAGGGCAACCUGUCUGACUAUCUAUGAAUUCAUAAAUAGAUUAGAGGCAACCUGGUGAACUGAAACAUCUCAGUAGCCAGAGGAAAAGAAAGCAAAAGCGAUUCCCGUAGUAGCGGCGAGCGAACUGGGACCAGCCUAAACCAAUUUAAUUGGGGUUGUGGGAAGACAAACUUGCAAACUUGUUUGCUCGGUGCUUCACUCCUUCACAUCGCUUGCGGGACGCAGCGAUGCGAUCCGCGGAGCGGCAGCGCGACCGAAGCGAUGCAAAAGAAAGAAAGAAAAAAGACGAAGCAGCUGAAUCCUGCACCAUAGAUGGUGAAAGUCCAGUAGUCAUAUUCAAUUCUUUUAUUAAAUCAACGAUUUAAUACUUUGAUUUAUUAAAUAAACUUGCGAAAGCAUUUGCUUUUGCUCGGCUUCUCCGAAGCGGAGCGAAAAGCAAAAGUCAAAGAAGCAACUAAAAUGUCUAUCCCGAGUAGCAUGGGGCACGUGGAAUCCCGUGUGAAUCUGCGAGGACCACCUCGUAAGGCUAAACACUCCUGAGAGACCGAUAGCGAAAUAGUACGGCGACGGAAAGGUGAAAAGAACCCCCGUAGGGGAGUGAAAUAGAACAUGAAAUCGUGAGCUGACAAGCAGUGGGAGGAUUUCUUUUUGAAUCUGACCGCGUGCCUGUUGAAGAAUGAGCCGGCGACUUAUAGGAAGUGGCGGGUUAAAGAGUAAGAUCUGGAGCCUAAGCGAAAGCGAGUCUGAAUAGGGCGCAAGUCACUUCUUAUGGACCCGAACCUGGAUGAUCUAACCAUGAGCAAGCUGAAGCUUAGGUAACACUUAGUGGAGGGCUGAACGGACCGGUGUUGAAAAAUCGGCCGAUGACUUGUGGUUAGCGGAGAAAUUCCAAUCGAAUUCAGAGCUAGCUGGUUCUCCCCGAAAUGCGUUGAGGCGCAGCGGCAGUGAUGGGCAAUCUAAGGGUAGAGCGACUGUUUCGGUGCGGGCUGCGAAAGCGGUACCAAGUCGUGGCAAACUCCGAAUAUUAGAUAUGCUUUCCAUAUGCCAGUGAGACAGUGGGGGAUAAGCUUCAUUGUCAAGAGGGAAACAGCCCAGAUCAUCAGCUAAGGCCCCUAAAUGGCUCCUAAGUGGAAAAGGAUGUGAGAAUGCUGAAACAACCAGGAAAUUUGCUUAGAAGCAGCCAUUUUUUAAAGAGUGCGUAAUAGCUCACUGGUAAAGCGUUUUUGCGCCGACAAUGGCCGGGACUAAGGAGCCUGCCGAAGCUAUGAGAUUUUUUAUUUCUUUUAUUUAAAUUCUUUUAAUAAAGUUCUUUAAAUAAAGAAAGAAUAAAAAUCGGUAGGGGAGCGUUCAGCAUUGGGUGAAGCUUUGACGUAAGUUUGAGUGGACGAUGCUGAAGUGAGAAUGUCGGCUUGAGUAACGAAAACAUUGGUGAGAAUCCAAUGCCCCGAAAACCUAAGGGUUCCUUUACAAGGUUCGUCCAUGAAGGGUGAGUCAGGACCUAAGGCGAGGCCGAUAGGCGUAGUCGAUGGCAAACAGGUUGAUAUUCCUGUACUUUUUUGAAGGGGAACCGAGGGACGAAGUCGGCUAAAUUGAGUCUGUGAAUGGAAUGCAGUGGAAGUGUCCGAGGUUACACAGAUCGAAGAAAAACGAAUCUGUAGCUAAGGCAUGAUCCCACUCUCCUGAACUUGUUCGGGUAGAGUGUCAAUGAUGUCAUACUUCCAAGAAAAGCUCGUACACCAUCUUUUAAGAUUAAACCUUCAAAAAACCUGUACCUGAAACCGACACAGGUAGGUUGGUAGAGAAUACUAAGGGGCGCAAGAGAACUCUCUCUAAGGAACUCGGCAAAUUGGCCCCGUAACUUCGGGAGAAGGGGCGCCUUUGAUUUUAUCAAGGGCCACAGUAACAAGAUUCAGGCAACUGUUUACCAAAAACACAGGUCUCCGCAAAGUCGUAAGACAAUAUAUGGGGGCUGACGCCUGCCCAGUGCCGGAAGGUGAAGGAAGUUGGUUAUUUGGGCCUUGCGCUCAGAGAAGCUGACGACCGAAGCCCCGGUGAACGGCAGCUGUAACUAUGACAGUUCUAAGGUAGCGAAAUUCAUUGUCGAGUAAGUUUCGACCUGCACGAAAGGCGUAAUGAUCUGAAUACUGUCUCAGAGAGAGACUUGGUGAAAUAGACUUAUCCGUGAAGAUGCGGAUUAACAACAUUUGGACAGAAAGACCCUAUGAAGCUUGACUGUAUCCUGGAAUUGGGUUCGGGCUUUUCUUGCGCAGUCUAGGUGGGAGGCAUUGAAGAUUUCUUUCCGGAGAGAUUGGAGCCAUCAGUGAGAGACCACUCUGGAAAGGCUAGAAUCCUAAGAGUGAUCCCUAAUCGGGACAUUUGACGUUUUCAGGAAGGCAGUUUUUUUGGGGCGAAAGUCCUCCUAAAAGGUAACGGAGGCGCGCAAAGGUUUCCUCAGUCUGGACGGAAAUCAGACGUUACAGAGUGUAAAGGCAAAAGGAAGCUUGACUGCAAGACCUACAAGUCGAGCAGGGGCGAAAGCCGGCCUUAGUGAUCCGACGGUAUCCGCGUGGAAGGGCCGUCGCUCAACGGAUAAAAGUUACUCUAGGGAUAACAGGCUGAUCUUCUCCAAGAGUUCACAUCGACGAGAAGGUUUGGCACCUCGAUGUCGGCUCAUCACAUCCUGGGGCUGUAGUAGGUCCCAAGGGUUGGGCUGUUCGCCCAUUAAAGUGGUACGUGAGCUGGGUUCAAAACGUCGUAAGACAGUUUGGUCCAUAUCCGAUGUUGUCGUUAGAGCAUUGAGAGGACCCUUAAAUAGUACGAGAGGAUUUUUAAGGUCGUGCCUAUGGUGUAUCAGUUCUUUCUCCAGAAGGAAACGCUGAGUAGCUACGCACGGUUUAGAUAACCGCUGAAAGCAUCUAAGUGGGAAGCUUUCCUCAAGAUGAAUGCUCUCCAUUAUGCCACAGCUAGACAAGCUGAUGAUAGGUAUCAGGUGAAAGGUCUGCAAGGAUUUGAGCCGAGAUAUACUAAAGGCCAAUUGAUUUUGACCA
This 3163-nucleotide ribosomal RNA is filed under the name Pseudopediastrum integrum. RNAcentral describes it as "LSU rRNA". It matches the Rfam family "Bacterial large subunit ribosomal RNA". Lineage: Eukaryota; Viridiplantae; Chlorophyta; Chlorophyceae; Sphaeropleales; Hydrodictyaceae. The record is from RNAcentral.